AGGACACCUCGUGUAUGAAUUCUUCAUGGGGGCAGAACCGGGGUCCCCGCUGGAGCCCCCCGAGAGUCUGCACUGGGAGCGGGUCGGGCUCUGCGCCUGGCCCUGGGGCUGUGGAUCUUCCACGGUGCCACCACCCAGAGGAGCCUCUUCAGCCAUGACCCCCGAGACCCUCGAGUGGCCGGUCUCCCCACAGUCCCCACGGCCACAGGGCAGGUGCUGCUGGCAGGGGGCUGGUGGGGGCUCGUGCGACGCCCCGAUGACCUCGGGGAGCUGCUGAUGGCCUUGGGCUGGACCCUCCCCUGCGGUGAGACCCCACCUCACCCUGCUGGGGCACCCCUCCUUGGCUGGGACCCCUCCAAAACCCUGUGUCCCUCCUGAGCCCUCCCAGACACCCGAGCCCCUCCAAACCCUCGCAGACACCCUGAACACCCCAAAAUACCUCCCCCCACCCUGCAGCCCCCCGACAUUGGGACCUCCC
This 478-nucleotide long non-coding RNA is filed under the name Lonchura striata (white-rumped munia). Its description in RNAcentral is "domestica (Bengalese finch) lncRNA (ENSLSDG00000007261.1)". The record is from RNAcentral. Lineage: Eukaryota; Metazoa; Chordata; Aves; Passeriformes; Estrildidae.